UAUAGUACAAAAUUCUAGCAGUUUUAUAAAAUAGUAUAAAUUCCUAAGAAUUUAUUCACAUUCACCAUGUGCGAUGCAACCAUUUCGGACCCCAUGUCUUUCUUAUACUUGGAUAUGCUGAUAUCAGUUUUAAUUGAGGACACCAAGGAGCUGAAAACGGAAUUCAAUACCAAAAUGGAAUUUAUACAUGAACAAGAGCAACACUGUUUGGAAAAUGCAAAACAUCUAAUAUUCGUGGAUCAGUUUAUAGUAUCACUUAGGGAGUGUGUGUAUAAAUUGGAGAUCGAGUUGCAGGAGAAUGAGAAUGAUUUACUCGCUGCGGAACACCUCGUUUCUCGUGCCGAGGAUUCGCAAAAACUAGACAAUAUUGCCAAUAUACCAUUUAAGCCAAGCCACUAUGUAGAUCUUAUAAAGUUGCUUAUAUCGGCAGAUAAUUCGGCAGCGCAGUGCAGCAGCCUUAAAACAGAAAUCGAACAAUACAAUAGCGAUGCAGCUCAACAUGAAGAGCCUCUAAAUGUGGUUUCCAAUAUUAUUAUGUACCAUGCUAUGACCCUGCAGUCCUUGGAAGAGCAAAUAAGUAGGUUGGAAAAAAUGACGGAAAAUGUUACAAAGAAUUUUGCCGAAAUCAAAUAUCAAUUAAAAAUUAGCAGCCUGGGCACCAAAUGCGUCUGCAAAAUGGCAAAUGAUAUGAACGAUAUGAAUAACAUAUACCGUAGCUAAUUAUAUAUAACUAUUGUAUAUAUUUUAUUUUUGGAAAACACCUCUGUGCUCGAUGAAUAUGAUACAUAAUAAUACACAUGAUAUUUUGUUUAACUAGUUGUUGGCAUCGCGGAAAAACAGCACAUCAUCUGCUAUAAUGCUAGUGCUAGUUUUUUGGUUGCCCUGC
Molecule: RNA transcript, 886 nt
Organism: Drosophila busckii
Lineage: Eukaryota; Metazoa; Arthropoda; Insecta; Diptera; Drosophilidae
Exons: 4
Source: RefSeq, a predicted model, not a curated record